Molecule: ribosomal RNA, 498 nt
Filed under: uncultured bacterium
Lineage: Bacteria
Description: bacterial SSU rRNA
Rfam family: Bacterial small subunit ribosomal RNA
Source: RNAcentral
AGGACGAACGCUGGCGGCGUGCUUAACACAUGCAAGUCGAACGGGGAUUAAGUUGGAAAGGCUUCGGCCCGGAAGACAUAAUUCGAGUGGCGGACGGGUGAGUAACGCGUGAGCAACCUGUCCCAGACAGGGGGAUAACACUUGGAAACAGGUGCUAAUACCGCAUAAGACCACGGGGUCACAUGGCCUUGGGGGUAAAAGGAGCAAUCCGGUUUGGGGUGGGCUCGCGUCCGAUUAGAUAGUUGGUGAGGUAACGGCCCACCAAGUCGACGAUCGGUAGCCGACCUGAGAGGGUGAUCGGCCACAUUGGAACUGAGAGACGGUCCAAACUCCUACGGGAGGCAGCAGUGGGGAAUAUUGGGCAAUGGGCGAAAGCCCUGACCCAGCAACGCCGCGUGAGUGAAGAAGGCCUUCGGGUUGUAAAGCUCUGUUAUAGGGGACGAAGGAAGUGACGGUACCCUAUAAGGAAGCCCCGGCUAACUACGUGCCAGCAGCUGC